Danio rerio (zebrafish) is the source of this 428-nucleotide non-coding RNA. The record is from Ensembl. NCBI's taxonomy places the organism in Eukaryota, Metazoa, Chordata, Actinopteri, Cypriniformes, Danionidae.
UGUAACCCCACCGUUUCUACUCAACCCAAUCCGCUCUGAGCUGGUAUCGAACCGACGACCUUCCGCAUAGGAAUCGGUUGCUCUAACAAGGAGGCUAAAGACCAUGGCUUCUAGUGUCAGUCGCUAGAGCACCUUUAGAGGUCAGAGGAGUGAGGUUUACCUGCAUAACACUUACUAGCUGGCCUCCGUUACACUCACCCCCCUAAACCUCACUCCCAUCCGGGUCACGGUACCAAUGUAAUCCCGCCGGUCCUACGCCACCCAACUCUCUCCGAGCUGGUAUCAAACCGGCGAUAUUCCGCAUGGGAUUCGGGUGCUCUACCAAGGAGGCUAAAGACCAUGGCUCCUAGCGUCUGUCGCUAGAGCACCUUUAGAGGUCAGAUGAGUGAGGUUUACCUGCACAGCACUUACUAGCUGGCCUCCGUUAC